GACGAACGCUGGCGGCGUGCUUAACACAUGCAAGUCGAACGGAAAGGCCCUGCUUGCAGGGUACUCGAGUGGCGAACGGGUGAGUAACACGUGGGUGAUCUGCCCUUCACUUCGGGAUAAGCCUGGGAAACUGGGUCUAAUACCGGAUAGGAGCCAUUUUUAGUGUGAUGGUUGGAAAGUUUUUUCGGUGUAGGGUGAGCUCGCGGCCUAUCAGCUUGUUGGUGGGGUAAUGGCCUACCAAGGCGGCGACGGGUAGCCGGCCUGAGAGGGUGGACGGCCACAUUGGGACUGAGAUACGGCCCAGACUCCUACGGGAGGCAGCAGUGGGGAAUAUUGCACAAUGGGCGCAAGCCUGAUGCAGCGACGCCGCGUGGGGGAUGACGGCCUUCGGGUUGUAAACUCCUUUCGCUAGGGACGAAGCUUUUUGUGACGGUACCUAGAUAAGAAGCACCGGCUAACUACGUG
RNAcentral lists this ribosomal RNA (465 nucleotides) under uncultured bacterium. RNAcentral's name for it is "partial 16S ribosomal RNA". It matches the Rfam family "Bacterial small subunit ribosomal RNA", at positions 28 to 507 of the family's 1533-position model. The record is from RNAcentral.